This 433-nucleotide ribosomal RNA is filed under the name Spinaria fuscipennis. RNAcentral describes it as "eukaryotic LSU rRNA". The record is from RNAcentral. Lineage: Eukaryota; Metazoa; Arthropoda; Insecta; Hymenoptera; Braconidae.
CCUGAGAAACCCAAAAGAUCGAAUAGGGAGAUUCAUCGUCAGCUCAUUUUGUAUAUGUAUGAGUUAUGAUGCGAGUUACUACUUGUAGUAUUGCUUGCACAUUCUUAUAUAUUUAAUUGCAUUAUGUUGUCGGCGUGCACUUCUCCUUUAGUAGAACGUCGCGACUCAUUGUUUGUUGGUUUACGGCCCAAGUUAUUAGUCUUUAAUAUUUUAUUAUAUUAAAAAUUCUUGGUGCUUUCUAACCGGCUAUACAGUGGUAUUCAUAUGGUAAUAAGCCGCAAUUAUAUGCGUCCAUUUCCAUCGCAAGCAAGGCCAAUUUUUGGUAGUACGGACCAAGUGCCGUCGCUAGUAUUGGUCAGCUGUUGGCUGUUAUGGUAUUCUUGGACUGGCUGAAAAAAUAAUUACCGGUUAGCGAUGCUAUUGCUUUGGUGCU